GUCGAACGGGAAAGUGGAGCAAUCCAUGAGUACAGUGGCGUACGGGUGAGUAACACGUGGGUGAUCUACCUUUUAGUGGGGAAUAACCCUGGGAAACCGGGGCUAAUACCGCAUAAUCCCGAGAGGGGAAAGCAGCAAUGCGCUGAAAGAGGAGCCCGCGGCCGAUUAGCUAGUUGGUAGGGUAAGAGCCUACCAAGGCAGAGAUCGGUAGCCGGCCUGAGAGGGCACACGGCCACACUGGCACUGAAACACGGGCCAGACUCCUACGGGAGGCAGCAGUGGGGAAUCUUGCACAAUGGGGGAACCCUGAUGCAGCGACGCCGCGUGAGCGAUGAAGCCCUUCGGGGUGUAAAGCUCUUUCGGCAGGGAAGAUUAUGACGGUACCUGCAGAAGCAGCUGCGGCUAACUACGUGCCAGCAGCCGCGGUAAUACGUAGGCAGCGAGCGUUGUUCGGAGUUACUGGGCGUAAAGGGUGUGUAGGCGGUUCUUUAAGUUUGGUGUGAAAUCUCCCGGCUCAACCGGGAGGGUGCGCCGAAUACUGAGGAACUAGAGUACGGGAGAGGAAAGUGGAAUUCCUGGUGUAGCGGUGAAAUGCGUAGAUAUCAGGAGGAACACCGGUGGUGUAGACGGCUUUCUGGACCGUAACUGACGCUGAGACACGAAAGCGUGGGUAGCAAACAGGAUUAGAUACCCUGGUAGUCCACGCCCUAAACGAUGCAUAUUUGGUGUGGGCAGUUCAUUCUGUCCGUGCCGGAGCUAACGCGUUAAAUAUGCCGCCUGGGGAGUACAGUCGCAAGGCUGAAACUCAAAGGAAUUGACG
This 820-nucleotide ribosomal RNA is filed under the name uncultured Bacillota bacterium. RNAcentral describes it as "bacterial SSU rRNA". It matches the Rfam family "Bacterial small subunit ribosomal RNA", at positions 61 to 915 of the family's 1533-position model. The record is from RNAcentral. Lineage: Bacteria; Bacillati; Bacillota.